GGCUUUAUAGUCAAUGAAAUGAUAUCAGACUGCAAUUCUGAAGUAGCAAUAUGCUAAAGCUU
RNAcentral lists this transfer RNA (62 nucleotides) under Rhodnius pictipes. Its description in RNAcentral is "tRNA-Cys". Lineage: Eukaryota; Metazoa; Arthropoda; Insecta; Hemiptera; Reduviidae. The record is from RNAcentral.